RNA transcript from Nyctereutes procyonoides (raccoon dog), 6919 nucleotides. It is a transcript of the gene named ral-GDS-related protein-like, with no coding region annotated. The record is from RefSeq and is a predicted model, not a curated record. The transcript is spliced from 4 exons. Lineage: Eukaryota; Metazoa; Chordata; Mammalia; Carnivora; Canidae.
UACUCCGGAUCCCUAGACAAGUGUCAGGUGCACCAGGUCCCUGCUGCUCUGAGGUGAGAAGGGAAGAGGGUUCUCCACACCUAGGGUUCCCACACAAAUAUGGGGACAAACCUGGGUCCCCCCAGAGUAUUUUUACAAGAGUGCUCCACAGGCCCAAAGUAAUCUGAAUCUCCACAUCUCUGCCACCAGCUAUGUGAAGAUACCUUUCACAUUAUGUUGGAAUGGUAGAGAACAUAUUUAAUGUUUUGGGAGAUUUUUUGGUCUGUUUUACUUUUUACUUUUCACAAGGCCAAGUGUAUCUUUGCACUUUACUACUGUUUUUAUUAUUUCACCUAUUCGCCCCAGAUAUCCUGUGUAGAACUCAGCUCCAUUGUCCUUGCAGAACUUCUCCAAGCCCUUACAAACCAUCACACUAAAAAGAGUGAUUUAACACAAGAGAAAGUGUGGGACGAAGCCAUUCUAUAUUUUUCUCUGCAACAUGUCAUCUCUCAGAAUACAUCAAAUCAUUGUAGGACCAACAGGUCACAAGCUCUGUCCCUAUAUGUCUUCAUAAUAUUCCAUAAAGGAGGUCAUCUGCCUACUGUAAUUUAGCAUUUCAAGGCAGUUGGAACUUAACAUGAUUCAAUUCUGUUACCAUUUCAGCAGUGCUUCAAGGAACACCUUAAGUGUCCUGUUUUAAUUCAAGAUCUAACAUAACAUAGAACCACAGAUUGGGUGGAAGGCCACUGAUGCCUCCUGGCCCAGGCCACUGGUUCUGUUUUUUCAGAGUUCCACCCAGGAAAUCCAUGAUGAGCUGCUCCAAAGGUUCAGCAGCUCAGUCUCCCUUGACAAGUAGCAGGUGCAUCAGGCCACCAACAACAAGUGCUGGUCUGGAGUGAGAACAGGUUCAGAUUCAUUUGUAAUCUCAGGACCCAGAGAGAAUUAGGGCAAGCCCAGUACCCAGACUAGAAACAACUGGCUCUCUUAGGGCCUGCUGAAGAAGGUGGUUCCCCCCAGAACCUUUCUCCCCAUGUCAGGAACAGACCAACCCUCAUAAGCUUAGAGGAAAUUCCAUGCAGCUCUUCUUUAGACUAUUCUCAGGCCCAACAUACAUAAUCUUAAGCAGCAUUUGAGAUUCUAACCCUCUGUUUGUCCCAACUACACUGGAGAUGUUUACUGAUGAUGACUUACUGGCAUACUGCCCUUAAUAGAGGCUAUUAAUAGAAGUGCUACUGUUGCUCAGUUAACAGAAUGCCUUGGUUACCUUUUUUUUUUUUUUAAUUUUUUACCCCUAAAGCCAACUAUACUUUUAAGCCUAGAACCUCUUUCUGUGUGGGCACUCAAGUUCCUUCUCUUGUACAAGUUCCCAAAAGGAUGGGAGUCUCUGGUCAGAGUGCCUGAUCCUGAUCUUCCCAGUGGUUCAUUGUGUUGAAGCUGAUUACAUUGCCCCCCUCUUGUUUACUUGGUGUGAAAAGGAAUCAACUCUGUCCAUGGGUGAGGCCUGCAUGACGCUGAUUUCAAGGAAGGAAUAGAGAAUCUCAUACAGUCCCUAGCACCAUCCUUCUAAGAUAGAAAUACCUCAAACAUCACAACCAUUUUCUGCAUAUACCAGGUUUUCACUUCAGCCCAGCAGGCCCUAGUCCAGCAGUUCAAUAGGUGAAUGCUCACACCAUAGCACAGGGGUGAUCCUCCCAUCUACUAGUUGUAUGUCUUGGGAAUAUCACUGCACCUCUCUGAGCCCCACUUUCCUCUUCUGAAAAGUGGUGUGGUAAGAGGAUGAACUUCAUAGGGCUACUGUGGGAAAUCAUAGGAGAAAAUGUGGCAUGGGCUUAGCUGGUGCCUGGCUCUGUAGAAAGGGCUCCUGGACAUGUUGAGCACUUUCAUGUUUAAUAGUUCUCGCUCUCCAGUGAAGAAGCUCUCAAACUCCACCCUCAUGGCCUUUGGCCCUGAAGGAUUUAUAAAAGUGAAUGGAAAUCAGGCAGUUUUCCUGUUUGCAAAGGACUUCUAAGAUUCCAUCUAGCUUUUCCUGGUACUUGUCAUUUACAUGGCCAGAUUAGGGGUCACUGGGGGCAGGCAGAGAAGCCCAAGUUCCACACAGUAUCUGGAAAGUACUGGUUAGGAUUCCUUCAUUCAACAAUAUAUAUUAAGCACUUGAUAAUGUGGGCACUUUUCUAGUCACUAUGAUAAUUCAGUGAAUAAAUAAGACACAAUGCCUGGAUCUCAAUUCUAGUCAGAGGGUCAGACAGCACUCAUGUCCAUCAUCAUUAGAUGUGACAUCUUCAUAGCCUCCUCUAGGUAUGAAUGGAUCCACCCAUAUUUGCAACUUUGUGAUGGACUAUAAGACCAAAUAAAAACAUGAUUUUAGUUUGGGCCCAGAAAGAGGGCCUCCUGCCUCCACAAAGCAGGGUGGGUAUCUACAAGGGUUGUGGCUGGGGAGGGACUUUCAGAACCAUGGAUCUCACAAUCUCUUGAUUUCCAUGGGAGGGCUUAAGUUUGGGAGGUUUCUGGGAAGAAGAAAAUGAGUCAAAGAGAGCUAUGGAUGGGGUCCCAAGCCAUCUGGGAGCAGAGCACAGUCUGGGCUGAGUUAGUGCCUCAAAGACCCAUCCUUUCCACUGUCCCAUCUUGGUAUCCCUGCCCCUCUCCAUACCACCUCUGCUGACCACCACAACUGGGGCCAAGAACAGAAGUUGUGGUAAGCAGAGUGCUCACAAAUCUGCCUCAAACCUAAGCCCUGAUACUGGUCUGCAUGGAGUAACGAGUACCCUAGGCCCAUGACCAUGGAGAGAAGAGGUAAAGUAGAAAAACCAGAAUCAUACAGGUUUUCUGGAUGACCAGACCUUCCACUUCAAGGGCAGCUACAGUGGGGUUGGAAGUGGGCUAGGUCAUCCUCUGGGACCCACAUAGAAAGAAUGAUGCUGUGCGAAUACCAUGUGGAAUGAAAGGCCAGGCCUCUGCCUCUACUUCUCAUAUGACUCUCCUCAGCAUCCUCUCUCCAUCUUGAGUACCUGGCUUGACCAGUAAUUGCAGGCUACCUGGCAGUCCCUGCACUGUGCCCAUUUUGAGGUGAAGGUGGCCUAUGUGCAUGUGAAGGGAAUGACUGGGAUCUGAAGAACCAUGGCACACUUAUCCUGCUGCAGUGGGAACUUUUGGAGCCCACUGAGGCAGAGGCAGACGGUGAGUGGGAUUGAAAGCUGGCAACAAUAUUGGGUUGGGGUCAUGGGCUGGGUAUUCCUUUGAAGGCCAUGGGUUCUGUCUUGUUUUUGGAAAGGCACAUGGAAAGUCAGUUAUGUGGAUGAACCUUGCUAUUUAUCCUGCUCUAGUGUCAGCUCCAGGGCUCCUUCCAGCUGCUAAUCCAGAAAAAGGGCCUACUAUGGAGCUAGAGACAAACCCACCUCUGCUUCAACCAUCACCUCAAGCAUCAGAGCCAGCAUCAUCUCCAUCAGCCAUUCCAGAACUGGAACAGGGCUCACAUUUUCUGCAUGCAUGCCAUAUCCUGAGUUGCAGUCAGCUCAACCAUCAUCAUUACAUGGAAUUUAAACCCCAGUUCUAAAAACAGAGACAGAGCCAACUCCAGCCCCAUAUGCUUUCUGCCCUAAAGAACCAGCUGAAUGCGGAGAAUGGACUUUCCUCCCAAGUCAGUGGUAGAGCAACUGAUGUACACAGAUGUGGUGAGCAGCUCGGCUGUCAGGGUGGGUCAGGGGCACAUGUUACCUCUGCCAGCAGCUGCCCCAAACCUGGCUUUCCCUGAUGCAUACUCCUAUAGUCUGGGUCCAAAUCUCAGCUCCACCAUUUACCAACCAUGUCAACCCAUCAAGAUCCUUAAGCUCAAGCCUUCACUGUCCAGCUGUGGUCUCUAGAGAUAGACACUGAUAAGAACUGAUGCAAAUUGUGUAGAUUAAAUGAGCCAGAGCAGAAGUUGGAAGGCCCUGGUCCUUGGGGGGGGGGGCAGCUCACUGUGUGCAGCCAAAUGCAUGGGUCACCCCCCCAUUUGCCUUGGAGGCUAAGCAACCUCCACACUUAUUAGGGAACUGAUGGAUACUUAAGCAUGGGGGCAAACAAAACUGGUUAUAGCUACCAUGUAAGAAUGCAUGGCCCAGCUGAAAGGGGAGUAGGACCAGAGGGAUGAACAGUUGGAGGUGAAGAUGUCCCCUUGUGAGGAGUUGCCUUGAACUGUCACCUGGAGCUUGAAGUUUGUGAAGAUGAUCAGGGUGCAAAUGCCCUCCAUUCCCUCCCUGCCAGUAUUCCCUCCUGGGUCAUCCUGUACUGAGUUCUCACAGUAAAAAAGAAUGGAAUGAAAUCCAGAGAGUCUAAUCAGGCUCAGGCCACAUUCUUGGCUUCCUGAACUCCAGCUCUAACCUGUGACCCCUCCCUAGGACAUUAGUUUUGCAUGUGAAGUGGCUGGGUGAACAAAACACUGCCUGUUCACUAGGAGCUUUUCAAGAGGUGCUGCCCCAUCAGUGCCUGGACUCCAUCUAGUCCAAGUGGAAUAAGCCUGGCAAUGAGCACCUGGCACCAACAGUCCAUGCCACCAUCAUCCAGUUCAGUGGUGUGGCCAAAUGUGUCAUCACCAUGUACUGUGGCAACCCAAGCAUGACAGCCCAGGACAGGCUGUACAGACAGUGGUGGAUCACUGGAUAAAGUGGCCAAGGUAUGCUAUAGGAGGCCCAACUGAGUUUCUCUACAACUCUACAGUCCCUAGGUUCUUCCUUCCAGAGACAUGCUGACCUUCACUUGCAUGGCCCAAUGUUGAGAUGCUCAGUUCCUACCUGGCUCCUUCCUUGAAGUGAGGUAAAAUUCUCCCUCUCCCCAGAAGUGUUACUUUUUGGCUCUUACAUGUGCCCUUCUGCAGGUCCCUGGACUUCAUCCAGGAGGGGAGAUUUAAACUGAGGGAGACUGAAGGUCCUGCUACCCACCUGACAGCUCAUUCUCCUCCCUCUCCCAGCCUGUAAAAUCUUGUAGAAAUAUUCUUCACUUCAUGCCAUCCUCUCUGCUCUUCAGAGUGCCUCAAUUCACUGCCUGAAGAAGACAUGGGAGAAAGUUUCCAGGAGUAGCCAUCUAAAUUUGUCACCUUGGUGAUGGACUUCUGGAGAGCCCAGAAAAGGCUGCAGAUGAAGGGUGUUGUCUCCUUCCUUGCCACUUUCUUCACUGAUCUGAUGAUGCUGGACAUGGCAAUGGAGAAGUACCUGGAGGGGAAUGAGAUCAACCACCAGAAAAAGAAUAAGGUGAGCAUCUGUGUCACUUCUAUAGGGAAAGGUAGAGGAGCAGGUAUCAGAGAUGUCCCUGGGAAGAACAUUCCUUGGCUUUCUAUCCCUUCCACCUCACAUAUACUGGGGUAGUUUGAUAAUAAAUAAGUGGAAGACCCAUUCAGUGAGUAAGUGCGGAUAGAGGAAUGGCAUCAAGGAUAACUUCCUGGAGGAGGGGCCAUAUUUACUCUACCUGAGAACAGGUAGGAACUGGAUGAAUUUUCAGGAAGGAGGGUUGGCAUGUGUGCAAAGACCCGAGACUGAUCCUCUGGCCCACUGCUCAAUCCUCACAAAGCCCUGCAGCUUUCCUACCCAGGCUCUAUAUGCAUCCUGUCCUUCUCUCUUGGCCCAGGAAUACAAAGUAAUGACAGAGAUCAUGCUGCUCCAGGUGGCUGCAGGUAAUUACAACCUACAGCCCAAGGAUCCAUGUAGGGCCUCAUUCAAGUCUAUGGAGUGGCUCAACAAGGAUGAGAAGUGAGACCCAUCAGGAGCCGGGUGAGGGUAGAGGUGGACUCUUUCUGGUGGCCACUCUGGGGAUCCAUCUUCCUUGGCUCCCUGAGCAACCUCAAGCCCUCUUGCUUGGGCAGCAGACUCUGGCUGCUGGGAAAACACUGGGAAGGACUCCUGAAUUGAAGUUCCUGGUCAACUCACACAUGUCACUCUGUCCUUAGCUACCUCCUGUCCUGCCAGCUGAAGCCCCAGUCCUGGCUGGCCAGCAGAACUCAAGAACAAAAAGAACUGGCCACAGUCAAGCACAGGGCUGAGUGAGUGUCCAGUGGUAAUGCAAUGUUUCCUCAACAGCUGGAGCACUUGUGGUACUUGGGCCCCAUCUGCUCAACAUCCCUUCCUCCCAUCUAUUCAAUUACUUUGAGGGGCAAUAUUUAAUUUUCUUAAAUAGUAAGUGGCAGCUUUGAAUAUUAUAUUAAAUCCCUCUUUCUUUUACAGCCCAGGUGUGUGGUUUGGUUCUUUUACUUCCUACAAUAAUUUAAAUGAUGCACAGUCUCUCAUAUUCUUUCUUGAACUCAGAAAUCUUACAGAUUCAAUAGUUAUUGUAUAUGGGAGAAAGGAGAAGAGCCAGCUCUCUUCACUAGCUACUGGGUAUCACCCUCAAGUCCCCUUUACUCAGAGGCCAGGUUCAUUUCAGUAUUGAAACGAAUUUGGGCAAACAGCAGAGAAAGCCUCUCAGAACUCCUGAGACUUAGAAUUUGAAGGUACUUUCACAGGAAUAGCAACAACCCCUGAAAUUGGGUGUCUUUAAGGGUAACACAUGCCAGAACUACUUCCUGCCACAGGACAGUGGUUGCCUUUCUUCACACUAAAGAAAAGAGGAGUAUUUUCUGAUUCUUUUGUUGAUGUGGUUUGGUUUAGUUUGGUUUGUUUUUUUUUUUUUGACCCAAUAUUUGGAAAUUGCAGUUUUCUAGUUCAAUUUCUGGAAUUGUAUCAGCGCUAAAUGGUGAAAACAUGUAAAGGGAUCAAAUCCUGCAUGUGGAGGGGACAAGGCCAGAGGAAGAUAAUUUGCAAAUAGACUAAGGGCAGACAGGACUUUCCAUCCUCUGUCUUGCUCUAGGGGCUCCAGGUUCACCCUUUACCUAGAUUGAAAUCCUCCUGGGAUCCUGUCAAUGAUCUCUGAAUUUCUCUUUCUGCUUGCUUUGUAUUUGGGGAAGAGGUGUGUGGUGGACCUUUAAGGCCACAGCUGG